RNAcentral lists this unclassified non-coding RNA (268 nucleotides) under plant metagenome. RNAcentral describes it as "partial contains small subunit ribosomal RNA and internal transcribed spacer 1". The stretch from base 1 to 46 matches the Rfam family "Eukaryotic small subunit ribosomal RNA", at positions 1786 to 1831 of the family's 1831-position model. The record is from RNAcentral.
AAGUCGUAACAAGGUCUCCGUUGGUGAACCAGCGGAGGGAUCAUUGUUGGAAUAGAUGCCCUCACGGGUACUAUCCAAAACCCUUUGUGAAUACUACCUAAUCGUUGCCUCGGCAUAGUUGGCUUCCUACGGAAGUCCCUUUUCCCUAUGGGAAAAGGAGCAGGCUUGCCGGUGGCCCCCACAAAAUCUUGUUUCGUUGAAUUUUGAUACUAUCUAUCGUAGAUGAACUAAAAACCAAAAAACAAAAUUAAAAAUUCCAAAAAACCUU